Acanthaster planci (crown-of-thorns starfish) is the source of this 193-nucleotide long non-coding RNA. RefSeq lists it as uncharacterized. NCBI's taxonomy places the organism in Eukaryota, Metazoa, Echinodermata, Asteroidea, Valvatida, Acanthasteridae. The record is from RefSeq and is a predicted model, not a curated record.
CUGUGGGCUCAUCUUCUGGCAUCAUUGGCCUGAUAGAAUUUAGGAAGGCCUCAUUGCCAGGUGAAUGUACUGCCAUGGCUGCCUACAUGAAUGUUGGGGCUGGCUAGCGUCAUGGUGUGAGUGGACUGGCUGAUGAUAUCUCCAAAGUGAAGAGACCACCUCAUAUGAAAGCUGAGGGUAUGCCCCAGGAGAA